GAUGAACGCUGGCGGCGUGCUUAACACAUGCAAGUCGAACGAUGAAGCCCAGCUUGCUGGGUGGAUUAGUGGCGAACGGGUGAGUAACACGUGAGUAACCUGCCCUUAACUCUGGGAUAAGCCUGGGAAACUGGGUCUAAUACCGGAUAGGAGCGUCCACCGCAUGGUGGGUGUUGGAAAGAUUUAUCGGUUUUGGAUGGACUCGCGGCCUAUCAGCUUGUUGGUGAGGUAAUGGCUCACCAAGGCGACGACGGGUAGCCGGCCUGAGAGGGUGACCGGCCACACUGGGACUGAGACACGGCCCAGCCUCCUACGGGAGGCAGCAGUGGGGAAUAGUGCACAAUGGGAGCAAGCCUGAUGCAGCGACGCCGCGUGAGGGAUGACGGCCUUCGGGUUGUAAACCUCUUUCAGUAGGGAAGAAGCGAUAGUGACGGUACCUGCAGAAGAAGCACCGGCUAACUACGUG
This 466-nucleotide ribosomal RNA is filed under the name uncultured bacterium. RNAcentral's name for it is "partial 16S ribosomal RNA". It matches the Rfam family "Bacterial small subunit ribosomal RNA", at positions 28 to 507 of the family's 1533-position model. The record is from RNAcentral.